RNAcentral lists this long non-coding RNA (6632 nucleotides) under Manihot esculenta (cassava). RNAcentral describes it as "long non-coding RNA (MESC_LNC003575)". Lineage: Eukaryota; Viridiplantae; Streptophyta; Magnoliopsida; Malpighiales; Euphorbiaceae. The record is from RNAcentral.
AAAUAUAUUUUUUCCUAGACAGAAAAAAGAUUAUGUCAUUUGAGAAACAGCAACAAACAUUUUUGUCCUCUUUCCUAUAUUCACCAGGCUUCUUUUGCAGAGGAAGCCAUUGCGUUAAUGUACUCAAUCCACCAGGCCAGGCCAGGCCACACUCCCUCCCUCGAUAUACCACAAUCUCUUUCUCUCUCCUCACCUCAUGUGUACUCUAUCGUUUCUCUCGCCAUUGUCAGUUCUGCACUCUCCUGAGUUCUAUGAUUCCAUUUCCAACCUCAUUCUUUUAUAUCUUAUUAUAUUAUAUAUAUAUACCAUAGUGUCGUAAUCUCUGCAACUUCCUGUGAAAAAUUCUUUUCUUUACCUAAACCCAAUAAAGCUUGCUAUUAGCAUUUCCCUCAAUCCCAUAUACAGUCACAAACAGCCUUUUACUGUAGAGAAUUGUCAUUUUUUUAAUAGAGAAAUGGGUUUUUUUAAUACAUAUUCUGUUUUUAGUUGCCUAUGGAUAUGGUCCAAUCAUUAAUUAAGAAAUGUUAAUUAUAGGGUUAUUCACAUGAAGCAUAUUUGAUUACAAUGUCAAAGUGACUGUUUGAGUCUAUGCUAUUGGGAGUUGCAGUCAAGAACAUGGAUAAGUGGUGUAUCUGAUUGCUCUUUCCAGGAAAAGAUAAAAAUGGGUCCUUUCCUUUUCAUUGAGAGAGAACACGAGCUGGGGCAUGAAAAAGCUACCACCAAGGGUUUCGUGAUAAUUCUCUCCACACACACACAAAGAAGGGGGAGAGAGAGAGAGAUGGCACGCAAUACUUUGGAUUUUUCUUCAAGCUUUCAACCACAUCGCCCUACAGCAAUCAUCAUGCCCUCCUCCUCUUCCUUGCGCUUCUCAGGGACUAUUCACCACCAUCAUCAUUACCCCCUCACCUCUACUACGUCUCCCUGCUGCUUUUUUCGCAACCCAACAGCUCCUUCACAUCCCAAAUCCAAAACAAGACAACUCACAGAGAAGAAGAAGAAGAAGAAGAAGAAGAAGAAGAAGAAAUGGAGUAGAGGGUUUACUCAUGAUGACAAAAAGCUGGCAUCUUUCACUUGAAGUUAAAAAGGGUCUUUUUUACAUCGAAGGAUCCUACAAACAAUCGGGGAAUCAAGCGUCUCGGUCCGAUCAUUUGCUAGAUCAAGCAAAUCCACAAGAAGAAUAAUUAGAAAAGCUGCUAUUUUGCUAGCUAGCUAUAAGGGUUUUUCUUCUCAUUUUGAUCACUUACUAAUUAUAUAUUAAUCACUAGUUUUUCUUUAAUCUGUUUCAAGAUCUUCCUUGCUGCUUAGUUUCUUUAAAAGAGAAGAUUUUGUUAUGUGGGUAUGUGUGUUUUCUAUUUGAAUAGAUCAUUUUCAUAACAUCUCUCUCUCUCUCUCUCUCUUGAAUGCUCAUGAACAUGUAAUAAUUGGCGUCUUGUGGAAUUAAUCUUUCUGUUUCUUGGUGAGACUAUAAGCAAUCAUAUACUGUUCAGAAGUUUCCUUUCAGGAUGAGAAAGGAACUAAGCUUUAAUACAUUUGAAGGCCAUGGCAGGUACAUAUCUAUAAUUAUGAAACUAGGGUUUGCUGUCCAUUCUUAUUAUCUCCUAGCUAGACAUCCCAUAUGUCAAGUAGCUAGAUGACUAAAUAUUCAUGAGUUGAUGUGUGUAUGUAUGUCUUAUCUAGUAACAAGCUAGUACAACUACAGUUCAUCAUCAUCAUCAGAUACAUACAUGAGGAGAGCUACCUAUGCAUGUCUAUGCCCUAAACUUGCAUACACAUAGCAUGGAUUUAUUAUCCAUAUAUGUAUGGUUUUGUUUCUGUUAAAUUUUUUACCAAGUACAUGAAUUUUUGUGUAAAUAAACAUCUCACUGAUUAUUCAUGUCUAUAUGUAUAUCUACCUGUCUAUUUGUCCUUGAAAACUAAACUUUCAUCAUCAUCAUUUUGUUGGGCAAUAAUGAAAAAUUUUUAAUAAUUUAAUUCAAUAGAUAAUUGAGAAAGAAUUUUCUGAUUAGUUUAUCAAGCCCUCUUAAAAAUAUAAAAACAUUAAUUAGAAUAAGAAAGAAACUUAAAGAGAAUGAAUUAGCAUGUAUGAAUAUGCAGAUGGUCUCUUGUGUGUAACUUGAAACUUUGAAUUGAAAAUUUUAUCCAGGCUUGCAAAUAACAGCAUUUGUCAUGUGGAAAAUGCUACAAGUACUAAAAUUCUUUCCCUUUGAUCUGUCAGACAUGGAAAAGGAAAGCAAAAAGAAAAUAAAAAAAGAAAUUGGAAAGGAUUCGCGUGCUUGUUGGUAUCCUUUUGUCAAACACUGCUACUUAUAUUUAGAAUUUUAUCACAUUGUACCCCUGGAUUGUACUUACUGAACCCUUGCUUUAAUAACAUUUCAAUAUGCUAUCGGUCGAAUAACUCUUUUUUUUAUUUUUCUCCUCUGAAUUUAUUUUUUGAAUAAAUUGAUAAUGAGUCAUAUGAAAUUCGUGGAUUCAUAUAAAUUCGAUUUAAAUAAACAUUAGAUAAUUUAAUAAAAAAAAAUUCAUUUCUUACGCUAUUCGAACUUUGAAGCCCAGACCUGCUUCAGAUGAACAGCCAGUGCCAUCCACAUGCACAGCAAAUCUUAAGAUUAAGUUAGCCCAAAGCUUCGCACCUUUUUUUUGGGACCGAGCCCAAAGGGCUCCUGUGAAACUGGGCUUUUUGAGAAAACAACGGGAAGAGUUUUGGAUUGAGGUUGUGAAAGAGUAGCAUUCACAACAACUUCUUCUUUGCCUCAAAGCCCAAAUUGUUUGACCUUUUUUUUUUUUGAAUUAGUCUAAAUGUGUUAAUUGAAACUCAACGUGACCAAAUCAACAAAUUGUAAAAAUUAUAGCUCAAAGAUUAAGAAAUUAAACUUUUUAAUUCUGUAGCACAAUUAAUAAAUCUAUAAAUUUAGAUGUUUAGAGUAUAAUUAAUUUAAAUUAAAACUUCUGACUAAUGUAGAUAAAAACUUAAAAAUAAAGUAAAUUAAACAUGAAAUUAAAUAUUUAGCCAUUAAAAUGUUGUGCUUUUCAUAAACAACUACAAAGUCUUUAUUUGCCACCGCCAGACUGAUAAUAUAUAUUUCAAUAUGAUGAAAUGAGAUUUUUUGUAAAAAAUAAAAAAUAAAUAAACAGAAUACGCCUAGCUUAAAAAUAAAAAAAUUCAUCUCUUACAUUUCUGAGAAAAUAAAAAAUACAUUUAAUAAAUAAAAUUAAUAUUUUAAAUUUUGACUAAAAAUUUAAGUGAGAGCUAAAUUUGACUGCAUAUUAAAAAAAAAUCAUGUUCAACAUACUCAUACUUAAAAUUUAAAUUAAAAAAAAAAAAAAAACAUUAACAAGCCUCUUAGAUUCGGCAUUGUCUACAAUAUUGUAUUAUCUAUUAUCCAGUAGCUGAUAGACAGAAGUAGGGUCACGUUCAGUCGGUUCGAUUUAAAAUUAAACUGAACUGAAUAAAUCAAAAAUUAAAAUUUUAAUAUUUAUGAAAAUCGAAUCAAAUCGAUUUUGAUCAGAAAUUGAAUCGAAUUAAACCGGUCUGAUUCAGUUCGAUUCGGUUGGUUUUGAUCGAUUUCGAUUUUUAAUAAUUUUUUUAUUUUUUACACUUUAUUUUUAAUAUUUUAAAAUUUAAUUAAAAUAUUUUAAUUUUAAUAUAAUUUAAUUUCUCUAUAUUAUUGAAAAAACAUAUUAUUAUCACUAAUCGAUUCGAUUUUUUUGAUUUUUUUCUAAUCAAAAUCAAAUUGAACUGAAAUAAUUGAAAUUUUUAAAAUUAAAAAUCAAACCGAACUAAAAUAUAUAAAAAAUCAAACUAAAAUUUUAAAUCAAUUCAAUUCGAUUGAUGUUUUUAAUUUGAACUAAAUACUGCCCACCUUGAUUUUAGAACCAUAAAGUUUUUAAAAUAUUUGUGCUUUUUCACAAGCUUAUCAGAUUCCAAAAUAUUUAUAUAUAAAUUAAUUUUUUUCUACAACAUUCUACACACAAAGCUUACUUGGCGUGACAUGCAUGUAAAAUAUAAGAGGGGAUUAAUUUUGCUUUUCAAAAGUAAAAUUCACAAACAAAUAGUAAUUAAUAAAUUAAGUUUAAGCUUAUAUAUAUCCAGAUCGAUUAGAAAUUUUAAAAAAAUUAAUUUAUAAAAUACAUUCUCAAAAACACCUUAAAUUAAAAAAUUUAAGGUUAAGUUAUGUAUGCAUAUCGACUUUUUUUUAUUAAAUUAAAAUUAAUUAAAAUUGAGAAACUUUUUUUAUUAAAUUAAAAUUAAUUAAAAUUGAGAAACUCAAGUCAGGACAAAUUCACUUUACCUAAAAAGGUAAUCCCUAUUUUAAUCCCAUAAGCAACGCCCACUCGCAAAAGAAAAAUUAGAGAAAAAAGUGCAAAGGGUUAGUGUGAAUUUGGUUGAUGUGAAAACAGAAGAUUGAUUUGGUGAGGUUAAAUUAAUAACCUUAAUUACUGCAAUUAAUUUAUAGAAAAUUACAGUAAUUAUGUAAUGAUACGAUAAGCUUGGUUACAUCAGAUUAAGAUGUUAAUUGGUGGAGGAUUUUGACAAUUGGAUGCUACCUAAUAAUGUUAGCAGAUUAAAAACAUUUAUGUGGAGUUUGAGUAGCAGUGUUGAAUUAGUUAACAUUCGAAAUUAAUGAAAGAAAUAGAUAUGUUGAAUGAGCAAUGGAUCAAAUUCAAAGGUCAAAAGGAAAUUUAAGAAGUUGCGGUAUGCCCAACAAUCAACAAAUUCAAAGUUCAAUCCUCUCUCUCUCUCUCUUUUCAUUUUCUUUGUACAUGCAUGAGCAUCGCUGUAGAUUUAACCUUUCAAGCUAAGAAAAUUGGAUAUUGACUUGGUUUUAGCUGAGUUGAGUUCAGCUCAGUUGACAGCUAUUGCGUUUAACAUUUCGGUCGGUCUUCAUUAAUAAUUUAUUUUUUUUUUAUUUUACAAUAUAAUAAAUUAAAAAUUAAACUAAUAUAUAUAUAUAUAUAUAUAUAUAUAUAUAUAUAUAAUUUAAAGAGAAUUUUUCUCUAAUAUAUUUCACCUCUCAUAUAAUUUUUAUCUUUUUUUAUUUUUAAUUGCUUUAAGUAUUGUUCACUACCAAAUUUUUUAAUCAUUUUAAAUCAUUCCAUGCAAAUUCUAAAUUUAUUAAUACUCUCUCUUUUUUUAAUUUGUCAUUUAAGAUUUUUGUAAUUUUAAUAAAAAUAAAAAUAUUAUAUGACCUUCUAUUAAAAUCUAUAUAUAAAUAUUUUAAAUUAAUUAAUAUUUUAGAAAUAUAUGACUUAUUAAAAGGUAAACGGUGAAAAAAAAUAUAUGUAUAAAACUCAACGAUUUUUGGAUUGUAAUCGAGCCGAACCGAGUUUUAAUAAGUGUAAUAUCUAUUAUUAAAUAAAUUUAAAAGUUUGAGUUGGAGAUUAAACUCAACUCGAGUUUCAAUUUAAACUCGACUCUAUUUUCAUUUAUAAGUUUGAGUUCGAUUUAUAAAAUAAAUUUUAAACUUCAAUUUGAUUUGAACUCGAUUCGUAAUAAAAUCAUUUAUCAUAUUAACGAGCGAACUCAAAUUCGAUUAAAAAAACUUAAAUUUAAAAUUAUUUUAUCUUGAAUUUGAGCUUAAACAAAUUCAAUAUAUUUAAAUUAUAAAAUUGUUAAUAAAUUUUUAAAUUAAUUUUUUUAUUCAAUUGAAAUCUCUCAAACCUACAAAUGAUAAAAAAGAAUAUAGAAAUAUUGUUUUUUUAUAAAAAAAUUACAAUUCUUGGUAUCUUAUCCACUUUUAAUAUGGAAUUAGUGUUGGUAAAUGAAUCUGGUUACGAGUUUAUUUGUGAGUCGGCUCAUGAGUUUGUUCGUGAAUCUAUUUACGAAUCAGCUCGCUACUUUGUUCAUAAAAUUAAAAACGAGCCGAACUCGCGAAUUUAAAUGAGUCGAAUACUAUUAAAUUCAAGUUCGAUUCGUUUAUUAAAUGAGUCUAAAAAGUAAGCUCGAGUAAGACUCAUUUAAAAAACAGAUCGAGCUCGAUAAAGUUUUAAGAUCGAGCAAAACCCAUUUAGAAAAUAAAUUGAAUCUGAUCAAAUUUUUAUCGAAUCGAGUCUUGAAUAACUGAUGAACAGUUUGAUUUCUUUCCACUUCUGGUUGCAUGUUCUAUUAUUGAUUUUUUUUUUUAUAAAUAUUAUUGAAUUGCAGAAUGGACACAUCGAUUAGUGCAAUUUAGGGGUGAGCAGAAUCCGGUUCAAACUGAAAAAACCGAUCGAACCGAAUCGAUUUGAAAAUUUGGUUUGAUUUUUUAUACAUUUCGGUUCGAUUCGGUUUUAAAUUUCAAAAAUUUCAGUUAUUUCGGUUCGAUUCGGUUUUGAUCAGAAAAAAACCGAAAAAACCGAACCAAACCGAUUAGGGAUAAUAAUAUAUUUUUUCAAUAAUAUCAAGAAAUUAAAUUAUAUUAAAAUUAAAAUAUUUUAAUUAAAUUUUAAAAUAUUAAAAAUAAAGUGUAAAAAAUUUAAAAAAUAUUAAAAAUUGAAACCGAUCAAACCGAAUCGAAUCGAACCGAACCAGGCCGGUUCGGUUCGAUUCAAUUUUUGACCAAAAUCGAUUCGGUUCGGUUUUCAUAAAAACUAAAAUUUCGAUUUUCGGUUUAUUCGGUUCGGUUCGAUUUUAAACCGAACCGACCGAAUGCUCA